This is a long non-coding RNA of Dreissena polymorpha, 4960 nucleotides long. RefSeq lists it as uncharacterized. The record is from RefSeq and is a predicted model, not a curated record. NCBI's taxonomy places the organism in Eukaryota, Metazoa, Mollusca, Bivalvia, Myida, Dreissenidae. The transcript has 2 exons.
GUUCUGUGCGUUACGGAGUAUAGCACAGAACGUAUGUCUAAACAUAACGCACCGCACAAAACAGGUAUAUGUGCGGUUCGUUCAUGCGUGUGGUUGUCACGUGAGUGAUGGUCACUCAGGUGGACACAGGCGGGAAUUUGCACGGGGUGUUGAUUGUUUGGUCAGUUCUACGCUAGACUUCGAUCAGUAAACUUGUCUUCGUGUACAAAUCCUACAUCGUGUUGUCGACCUAAGCAGAACACAGGGUGUCCAUGCUGCAAGAUUUGGAACGCAUCAUAGAAAAGAUAAGUGCUAAAAGAAACGUAAAUCUGUUAAAUCCGUUAUACUGAAUCUCGAGCAUAGUAUCGAGUGUUACGAAGUAGUAACAGAGUUGAAACGAUGUAUAGUUCAAGUAACAAUUUGAGCACAAGAGAAUCCGAUCAAUUUACAAAUAAAAAUAUUGAUGGCACGCGACCGAAAAUUCACAGGUCAUUAAUGGUAGAACACGACAAAAGCUUUCGAACUUACCGGGGAAUAAAUUGCUAUUCUUUGUGGUGUUGUAUACAUUCUAUAUGUAUAUGUGUAAAUGUUUUGCGAGUCUGAUGACGUAAUGUUAUUUGCAGAAAAAUACAAGGUAGAGGCGAUGGCAUAUAAAAAGGCGGAAACAACGCCACGCGGCGCUCUUGACGGGUCAUAUCAGAAGCCGGAAGCUUCAUCUAACAUCGCAACACAAGGGGCUAAAACUCAAUUACCAUUGAGACGCACAGGACUAUGUUUCGCAUGUGGCGAACCGGGUCAUCGGAGAGGAGCAGCUGGAUGUUCAGCAAACAGCUCGACCAAUAAGUUAAGUUAAUUAUGUAUAGAACCCCGUUAUCAGAAAAUGGGUAGUUUCGUGUUCGUCGGAAAACGUAACGUACAGAAAGUUCCUAAAGUCGAACGUGAUCAAAAGGAUCCAUGUAUAGUUCGCCGGUAAGUUGAAGGAAGGCCCACGCGGUUAAGUAGCAGGAGACUACUGAUAGUAAGUACAUUUUCGAUGUAGUAAAUGGCGGUUAUAAGUUUAUUUUUUUCCGUCGGAAAACGGCAACGUACAAAAAGAUCUGUCUCAAUGUAUCAAAAGGAUCUUAUUAUAAAACUGGAUCAAAAGGAUCAUAGUAUAGAAAUUGAUGCUAGAAGCUCGCCGGAAAAAAAGAACGAAAGCCCAUGUAGCCAAACUGUAACAGGCUUCGGAUGGUUGUUACAUUUUAGAUGUAGUAAAUUGCGGUUAUAUGUUUCCUUUUCCGUCGGAAAACGGUAACGUACAGAAAGAGAUAAAAGGAGCAAUUGAUCAAAAGGAUCAUAGAAUAGAAAUUUAUCAUAAAGGAAAAAAUCAUAGAAAAAAUAAAUAAAUAUAUAUAUUGUUACCGGAAGUUUGUCGGUUAGUAGACUGAAAACCCACGUGACAUUUAUCAUGUUGUCAAUACGCCCGUUAAUACGUUUAUAGUCGUAUUUAAUAAGAAUGGGAGGCCUCGAUAUAUUUAAAAUUAUUAUUUAUUUAUUUGUUCUACUUUCGAUAUUAGAGGGGCGUAUCAUGAUAUUGAUACAUUCACGAACGGUGUGGUUUGAGCUAUCAAGAGAAUAGCAGGCAGUGUUAGGUUGUUAUAAGCUUAUAUUUGGCACGAUAACAGCCGAUCAUAUAUUUACUAAAACUCGUUAAAACUAAAAUGAGGUGUACUAGCAUUCUUACGUCAAAUUGACUUAAAAUAGUUAUUUGCUUUUGUGAUGUUGGCAUACAUCACAGUGUAGAAUAUGAAAAAACAUUAUAUGCUAGUGACUAGACGAGUUUGGAUGUUAACUGGCUGAAGAAACAGUAUUUUGAUUCCUUCUCAGAGAGUAGAAUGGCUCAGGCAUGUGAUCGAUAUGCAUAAAAUGCAGUUUUUCAUAAUUAAAAAUUGAGUAGCUAGGCUAGAAAAAAGUAUUGAUUCGAUGAUCUAUCUAAUUUAUCAAACGAAAGAAAAAGUAGUACUAAAAGAUAAAUUAAUAGCUAGUCUUGUAGGGCAGAUAAUUUCCUUUCAGAGUGUGAUUGUAAAUAAAGUUUGUGAUAACAAUGCAUAUAUACAAUUGCAUAAAUACCAGAGCUAGUUGGAAAGCUCCCGUUAUUGUAACGUCGCAAGCUAUUUCCAAACUUAGAUUAUGGAAAGAAAGCACUAGGCAGUUAAUCAACGGUGGAAAGAUUUCAAACACAAUCAGUUUUGUGUGUGUAAUAUAUUUGCUGAUGCAAGUACCACACGUUAUGGUUUAUGGAGGUUUUAUAGAAAGUUGUAGCUUUAAUGUAGAUACAGGCGAAAUGACUGUCAAGCUAACGAUUUUCAUAAAAAUAAAAAAGCAAAUUUAUUUUCAAUUUGUUUUAUUCCAAUGACGAAGAGAGUAAAUGUAUGUACUCGUGGUCUUUGAGACCCGAAAAUGAGAAAAUUGGAAUGUACAUGAUCUUAAUAAAAAGAGCAACCUGUUCCCGGAAGUGAACAGAUUAUUGACGAAAAGAGAUAAGUUAUUCCUGGAAGUGAUUACUAUAUUACACUGUUAAAAUCAAGGAGGUACACUGCCAGUGUUUUUAUAAACGAAACAGGUAAUGAAUAUUGUGAUUUAAUAUGAAGUCAAUACAUUAAGCCACCGGAAGUUGGUUUUCAAGAUAAACCGGAUAAGUAUUCCGUCGUUCAAUAUGACGUAAGUAAAAUUUCUUAUGAUCAAGAAAAUGCCUUGCAUACGGCUAGAAAAGGUAUGUUAUUGCUCCAGGAAGUGAGCAGAAAGAGUUUGCUAUGGUCCCCGGAAGUGGACAUAGAGCCCAGUAGAUUGCUCCCGGAAGUGAGCAGAAUUUGUAGGCUAUGGUCUCCGGAAGUGGACAUAGAGCCCAGUAGAUUGCUCCCGGAAGUGAGCAGAGAUGCUCCAUGAAGAGAGCAGAGAGUAUGCUAUGGUCCCCGGAUGUUAUGUUAUAUGAAAUGUUUUAAAUGCUUUGCAAAAUUCGUACAUCAAAGUGUAUUCAGACAAUAAAAUGUAAAAUCUAUAUUAUUAAAUGGUAGUCAAAAGAAAUAGCUUUAGAUUUAAAUAUGUAGUGUGGAUACUGGAUUCAAUGAAAAGAGGCAGUGGGUGCCUUAGUUCAAUAUGGGGAAACAAUGUAAACUGGUUAGUUCAGAAACUAGGUUGGUAUCAAUCUGUAUCAAUAAGAUGAUAUCGGAGAAAGCAAAAUGCAUCAUUGUUGUUCCAAAAAGGGGCAGUUCGCCUUAUUGGCUAAUGUUGAUUUGUCAUACGGACACAUUGUGAAAUAUUGCAAAAAGUUUGGUAGAGACUGUAUGAUUCCAGGUUGUUUUGGUAACACUAGAUUAUCAUUAAAUAAGAUAGCGUUAAGAUGCAUAUCACAAUACAGUUAUUGAUGUAUAGUACAUAUGUUUGACAGGAAAUGUUUUGAGAGGUACUCUGAAGGAGCGAUUAGAUGGCUCGGGCUUGCAUGUGCUUCGAAGAGAUCAGAUGGCGGACAGAAUGGCUAAGUAAAUACUUAGAACAAUCAAGAGCAGACAAUACGGUGAAGAAAAGAAUUCUUCAUGUGCACAUUUCAAAUACUGUGAAGAAAAUGUAGUCGCCAUGCCAGCCUAACAUAUAUCAGUAGUAAUGUACAUGGCUCAAUUGAUGGGUCGAGGAAAUCUAAUAACGUUUUUUACAUCUGUGUUUUACAGUAUUAAAUGGAUCCAUUCUAUUAAUAGUGUACAUGAUCCAAAGAAAGAUUUAACAAACUAUUAUAAGAAGCUUCAAAGCGUGUUUGUUUCAAACCAUCUCACAAGAAAGAUUUAUCAUGUACAUGUGCAUUCAUUAGAGAUGAUACAAACAUUGUGUUUGAUAUAAGGAGAUUCCUCUGUUUUCAUUGAUUGAUCAUUUUUGGGUUAUGCAUGUACAUGUAUCAUGAAUAUUAACAAAUUAAGUGAGUUUCAUUGUAAUGACCUACAAUUGAAAUCUGAUCACUUUGUUAUUGAUGUACGCCAUUAUAAUACUGGCAUGUAUACGAAUGGUUCGGAUAUUAUAAUUGCAAAAUGUACAACUACAACUUCCCAUAUGGCGUUUUAUUAACAAAUAUGUAAUUAGAAAAUUGGUCAGAUGAAUCAAAUGAUUUUUGUUCAAACCAGUUAUUGGUUAUAUAUAUGUAAUAAUUUAGACUAGCUAACGCCGAGGGCGUGUUUUAGAGAUGUUUGAAGCGACAUGGUCGAUGGAAGUCUGAUAGGGCUAAAGAUGAGUACAUUGAUGAUUCUCUAGACAAAAAGCUUUUUAUCACUAGACAAUUGAAAUUAUAAUUGAUUUGCGGUUCGAAUUUAAAACCGUACUAACCUUUGUUUUUGUUCUAUCGCAAGCCUUGCCCAAUGCAAAACGUGUUUUGUUUUGUGCUUAGUUGUGUGAAGACUUUUCAGUUCUGUGCGUUACGGAGUAUAGCACAGAACGUAUGUCUAAACAUAACGCACCGCACAAAACAGGUAUAUGUGCGGUUCGUUCAUGCGUGUGGUUGUCACGUGAGUGAUGGUCACUCAGGUGGACACAGGCGGGAAUUUGCACGGGGUGUUGAUUGUUUGGUCAGUUCUACGCUAGACUUUGAUCAGUAAACUUUUACUUUUUUAAAUUCGAACCGCAUUAGUAGUAAAUUGGCUCAAAUGACAUGUUAUGUUUGUGUUACAUAAUGUUUAGUUACAUGUUAAUAUUGGUUGUUUUCAGGUACAGUUUUCCAGAGUUAUUUUACAUUGGGCUUCUGAUGAAUUUUUAUCUCUGGUUUUUACCCUGGCCUUGAAAACACCAAUUAAGGACACAAUACUAAAAGUGAUGUAUACACAUUAUAGUUAUAAUUCGUUAUAUAAUUUAUAGAUCGAAAAUUGUCCUGUCAUGGUUGUACUACGAUUGUUCUUGAUUGCUAUAUGAUACGAAUAUGUAAUAUUCGUGGAUGUGUGUUGUCAAUAAACUGAUCGCAAGCCUU